RNAcentral lists this long non-coding RNA (2847 nucleotides) under Sus scrofa (pig). RNAcentral's name for it is "lncRNA (ENSSSCG00015023214.1)". Lineage: Eukaryota; Metazoa; Chordata; Mammalia; Artiodactyla; Suidae. The record is from RNAcentral.
UUUUUUUUUUUUUUGUCUUUUUAUGGCUGCACCAGGACAUAUGAAAGUUCCCAGGCUAGAGGUCAAAUCAGAGCUUCAGCUGCCAGCCUACACCAUAGCCACAGCAACCAGAUCUGAGCUGCAUCUGUGACCCACCCCACAGCGCAUGGCAAUGCCGAAUCCUUAACCCACUGAGCAAGGCUAGGGAUUGAAUAUGUGUCAUCAUGGAUACUAGUCAGAUUCAUUGCUGCUAAGCUACCACGGGAACUCCUACUCUUCCAUUUCUAUAUACUAACAAUGAAAGAUUGAAAAAAGAAAUUAAGGGGACCUCUCAUUUGCCAUCACAUCAAAAAGAAUGAAAUACCCAAGUUCCUACUGUGGUGCAACAGGAUCUGUGACAUCUCAGCAGUGCCAGGAUAUAGGUUCAAUCCCUCGGCACAGCUGGUAAAGGAUCUGGCAUUGCUGCAGCUGUGGUGUAGGUCACAACUGCAGCUCAGAUCUGAUCCCUGGCCCAGGAACUCCAUAUGCUAUAAGAUGGGCAAAAAGAACAAAAAAAAUUAAAAAAAAAAAGAAUAAAAUACCUAGGAAUAAACCUACCUAAGAAGGCAAAAGACCUAUACUCUUAAAACUAUAAGAAACUGAUAAAAGAAAUCAAAGAUAACACAAACAGAUGGAAAGAUAUACCAUGUUUUUGGAUUGGCACAAUCAAUGUUGUCUAAAUGGCUAGGUCGAGAGUCCAACUGCUGUCACUGCAGUCUCUUCAUUGCUGUGAGUUUGAUCCCCAGCCCAGUGCAGUGGGUUAGAGGAUUGGGUGUUGGUACAGCUGCAGCUUGGAUUCAGUCCCUGGCUCAGGAACUUCCAUGUGCCAUGGGUGCAACAAUGAAAUUUUUAUAUUUUUUAAAAUAAAAAAAGGCUAACUACCCAGGCAAUCUAAAGACUUGAUGUAAUCCCUACAAAAUUACCAAUGACAUUUUUUCACAGAAAUAGAACAUCUAACAAUUUUUAUGGAAACACAAAGGAAUCCAAUAAGCCAAAGCAAAUCUGAGAAGAAGAAGAGAGCUGGAGGAGUCAUGAUCCCUGACUUCAAACACUACUACAAAGCUAUCCAUUAAAAUAAUAUGAUGUAGACACAAAAUAAAGAUCAACAAAAUAGAAUUUAAAAGCCAGAAAUAUAAAAUAAAAAUAAAAGCCAGAAAUAAACCCAAACACCUAUGAUCAAUUAAUCUACACCAGAAAAGUCAAGAAUAAACAAUGGAAAAAAGACAGUCUCUUCAAUAAAUGGUGCUGGGAAAACUGGACUGUUACAUGAAAAAGAAAAUAUUAGAAUACUAUACAUAAACCAAAACAAACAAACAAAAAACCCAGGAAUGGAUUAAAGACCUAAAUUUAAGCCUGGAUUCUAUGAAACUCCUGGAGGAAAAUAUAGACAGAACAUUUGUUGACAAAGAUUGUGGCAAUACUUUUCAGAUCUACCUCCUAUAGUAAUAAAAAAAAAAAAAACACGAAUGGGACCUAAUUAAACUUAAAAGGUUUAAAUAAGCCAUAAACGAAAGGAAAAGACAAUACAAAGAAUGGGAGAAAAUAUUUGCAAACAAAUACAAAUUCCAAAAAACAAGGGAUUUAUCUCCAAAAUAUACGUUAUAUGACAAUAUCAAAAGAACAAAACAAAAAAUGGGCAUAAGACUUAAUUAUACAUGUCUCCAAAGAAGACAUAUAGACAGCCAAAAGGCACAUUGAAAAGAUGCUCUAUAUUGAUAAUUAGAGAAAUACAAAUUAAAACCACAGUGAGGUAUCAUAUCAUACCACUCAUAAUUGCCAUCAUCAAAAAGUCAACAAGUAAUAAAUGCUGGGAAGAUGUGGAGAAAAUGAAAUCCUCCUCCAUGGUUGGUUGGAAUAUAAGUUAGUCCAGUUCCUAUGGAGAACAGUAGAGAAGUUCCUUAAAAAACUAAAAAAGAUCUAAUAUAUGAUUCAGAAAUUCCACUGUUGAGCAUUUAUCUGGGAAAGACAAAAAGUAAGUGGAAAAGAUACAUGCACCCCAAUGUUCACAGCAGCAAUAUUAUUACCCAAGAAAUAAAAACAACAUAAAAGUCCAUCAACGGAGGAAUGGAUAAAAAAGAUGUGGUAGAUACACAAAUGGAACAUUACACAAAUGGAACAUUACUCACCAAAAAAGAAUGAACAAUGCAAUUUGCCAAAACACAGAUGGAUGUACAAAUUAACAUACAAUGUUAAUACAAGUCAGACAGAUAUAUACAAAUAUUGUAUGAUAUCACCUACAUGUAAAAUAAAAAAAAAUUGAACUAGGGAAAGGAUUUAUAAAACAAAAACAAACUUUUAGUUACUAAAAGGGAAAACAGGAAAGGAUAAAAUGAAAUUUGGGAUUAGAGAUAUAGAAAACUAUGUAUAAUAUAGUUUAAACUCUUAUGUUUAGCACAGGGAACUAUGUUCAAUAUCUUUUGAUGAACUAUCAUGGAGAAGAAUCUGAAAAUGAAUACACAUAUGUAUGUCUAAGUGCAUCACAUUUCUGUGAAACAGAAAUUAACACAUCAUUAUAAAUCAACUAUAUUGCAAUAACAAAAUUUUGGAAAGACCAUUCUUAUUUUUUAAAAAAGAAAUAUAAGUUGAACACAGAUGAAAAUAUAUUCCAUGUUCUUAUAAAGGAAUAAAAAAUAUUGUUAAAAUGUCAAUACUCCACAAGGCAAUCGUCUGAUUCAAUGUAGUCUCUAUCAAGUUACCUAUGGCAUUUUUCACAGAAAUUAAAAAUGUUUAAAUGUCUAUGGAAACAUAGCCAAAACAAUCUUGAGAAGAAAGGAGCUAGAGAAAUCAGGCUCCCUGACUUUAGACUAUACUACAAAGUUACAGUAAUCA